GCUUACGGCCAUAUCAGCCUGGGUACGCCCGAUCUCGUCUGAUCUCGGAAGCUAAGCAGGUUCGGGCCUGGUUAGUACUUGGAUGGGAGACCGCCUGGGAAUACCAGGUGCUGUAAGCA
RNAcentral lists this ribosomal RNA (119 nucleotides) under Salmo salar (Atlantic salmon). The record is from RNAcentral. Lineage: Eukaryota; Metazoa; Chordata; Actinopteri; Salmoniformes; Salmonidae.